Non-coding RNA from Physcomitrium patens, 1028 nucleotides. The record is from RefSeq and is a predicted model, not a curated record. NCBI's taxonomy places the organism in Eukaryota, Viridiplantae, Streptophyta, Bryopsida, Funariales, Funariaceae.
AGUGUGUUCGCCCUUACCCCCCGCCUUUCUUUGGCCAUGUGUAUGUAUGUAUGUAUGUAUGUAUGUAUGGAUGUGUCUCUGCUCUGCUUUGCUCCGAUUCUGCCUCCGCAGCUUCUUCUUCAUUGUCGCCUCGAUUGAUUGAUUGAUUGUCUUGCCGACCUUGCUCAGCGCUUGUGUCGUCAUUCACACUUGCCGCUGCGCAUUUCGUUUGUGGACUCUUCGAUCCUUGACGACGGACACUUUUCGGCGUGAGAGUUGUUAGAGUUUGAGGCGGUUUAAGACGUGGUGUGUUCCGGGUCUUGGUUACGCGUGGCGGAGAGGAGGUCAAUUUGGUGAUUGGAUACACGAUUGGUGAAGGAGUGGUGAUGCGUGUGUAUCUGAAGUUGAUGUGCGAGUGUUGUAGCGCUGGUAGUGUGUGAAGUCGGGGCUUGGCUUGGUGGUGGGACUUGACAUUUGUAUGCAGUGUUCUGUUGGAUGCGAGAAGCGGUGCGUCUUGUGGUGGAAGUGGUGUUGAAGUAGUAGUGCAACGCGUUCCUGUUCUAAUCUCAGAGCCCACUUUGCUUGCACUCAUCACCAUAAUGCACACAAGUGAGUACUUGAAACGGUCUCCACCUCAACUUUUAUGACUUUUUAACUUGUAUUCUAAGAUACAUUGCAAACAAUCGUCUUGGUUUCUUUAUGAUAAACCCAAGUUGCUAGAAAGUCCUAAGUACUUUUUAACAUAUUUUUAGAAGUUUUGUUGGUGGAUCAUUUAAUCUUACAUCAAAUUCUACAUAUUACUAAGCUUAUACUUAUAUUGUUGUUGUCUACAUAAAAUUUUAAUAUCUAUUGUGAGAUAGUUGAGCCAAAUUGUAUCCAACAAAAACUAGUCUUUUUAGUUUGGUCUGAGAUUCCUUUUCUUGUUAAUUGUUCUUCUAUUGGUUUUAUUUUUUAUUUUUUUAUUUUGCAUAUACAGUUUCUUUUCUACAAGUCUUCUUGUCAAUAAAAUCAAAUUAAUUCUUUAUAAAUAAAUUCAUUAAGUUUAAGAC